Molecule: ribosomal RNA, 494 nt
Filed under: uncultured bacterium
Lineage: Bacteria
Description: bacterial SSU rRNA
Rfam family: Bacterial small subunit ribosomal RNA
Source: RNAcentral
GGCUCAGGAUGAACGCUAGCGGCAGGCUUAACACAUGCAAGUCGAGGGGCAGCGCGAGGUAGCAAUACUUUGGCGGCGACCGGCGAAAGGGUGCGUAACGCGUGAGCAACUUGCCCGUAUCUGGGGACAUAAGCGGUGGAAACGCCGUCUAAUUUCCCAUAACAACAGAGGCCGCAUGACCUUUGUUUGAAAGAUCCGUCGGAUACGGAUGGGCUCGCGAGACAUUAGCUAGUCGGCGUGGUAACGGCACACCGAGGCGACGAUGUCUAGGGGUUCUGAGAGGAAGGUCCCCACACUGGAACUGAGACACGGUCCAGACUCCUACGGGAGGCAGCAGUGAGGAAUAUUGGUCAAUGGGCGCAAGCCUGAACCAGCCAUGCCGCGUGAAGGAAUAAGGCCCUAUGGGUCGUAAACUUCUUUUGUGGUGGAGCAAUAAGGUGUACGUGUACACCGAUGAGAGUACAUCACGAAUAAGCAUCGGCUAACUCCGUGCC